RNAcentral lists this ribosomal RNA (36 nucleotides) under Eucalyptus baileyana. RNAcentral's name for it is "partial 18S ribosomal RNA". Lineage: Eukaryota; Viridiplantae; Streptophyta; Magnoliopsida; Myrtales; Myrtaceae. The record is from RNAcentral.
CAGUGUAGAAUCCUGCCUAUCAGAAUGACUAGAGAA